CAUUUCUCUAAUAUUUGAUGAUGAGCAGCAGGCAGAAAAAGACAUGCAGAUUGGGCUUCCCACAGAUGUAAAGCAUGUUGCUCAUGUAGGGAUUUCAAAUGAUUCCAAACCUGAUAAAGACAGUUCCGAUGUCAAAGAAGAUACAAAGAGAGC
This is a long non-coding RNA of Salvia splendens (bonfire salvia), 153 nucleotides long. RefSeq lists it as uncharacterized. The transcript is spliced from 3 exons. The record is from RefSeq and is a predicted model, not a curated record. Lineage: Eukaryota; Viridiplantae; Streptophyta; Magnoliopsida; Lamiales; Lamiaceae.